UAUUAAUUUAUAGAGGGCUUACUG
Molecule: non-coding RNA, 24 nt
Filed under: Arabidopsis thaliana (thale cress)
Lineage: Eukaryota; Viridiplantae; Streptophyta; Magnoliopsida; Brassicales; Brassicaceae
Source: RNAcentral